RNAcentral lists this long non-coding RNA (1345 nucleotides) under Marmota monax (woodchuck). Lineage: Eukaryota; Metazoa; Chordata; Mammalia; Rodentia; Sciuridae. The record is from RNAcentral.
GUCAAAUGGUGGCUCCAUUCCAAGUUUUCUAAGGAAUCUCCAUACUGCUUUCCAGAGUGGUUGCAGUCCCAUCAGCAAUGUAUGAGUGUGCCCCUCCCCCUCACCGCAUCCUCGCCAACGCUUUUUGUUAUCUGUAAUCUUGAUAGCUGCCAUUCUGACUGGCGUGAGAUGAAAUCUUAGAGUAGUUUUGAUUUGCAUUUCUCUAAUGACUGAAGAUGUUGAACAUUUUUUCAUAUAUUUGUUGAUUGAUUGUAUAUCUUCUUCUGAGAAGUGUCUUUUCAGCUCCUUAGUCCAUUUAUUGAUUGGUUUUUUUGGUGUUAAAUUUUUUGAGUUCUUUAUAUAUCCUGGAGAUUAGUGCUCUAUCUGAUGUGUGUGUGGCAAAAAUUUGCUCCCAAAUGAAAGUCUCUCUUCACCUCAUUGAUCGUUUCUUUUGCUGAGAAGCAGCCUUUUUAGUUUGAACCCAUCCCAUUUAUUAAUUCUUGAUUUUAAUUCUUGUGCUUUAGGAGUUUUGUUAAGGAAGUCAGGGCCUAAUCUGAAGACGUGAUGGAGAUUUGGGCCUACUUUUUCUUCUAUCAGGUGCAGGGUCUCUGGUCUAAUUCCUAGGUCCUUGAUCCACUUUGAGUUGAGCUUUGUGCAUGGUGACAGAUAGGGGUUUAGUUUCAUUUUGCUGCACAUGGAUUUCCAGUUUUCCCAGCACUAUUUGUUGAAGAGUCUACCUUUUCUCCAAUGCAUGUUCUUGGCGUCUUUGUCUAGUAUGAGAUAACUGUAUUUAUGUGGGUUUGUCUCUGUGUCUUCUAUUCUGUACCACUGCUCUACAUGUCUAUUUUGGUGACAAUACCAUGCUGUUUUGAAUAUUCCUCUUCUCAUUGUUAUUUUGUGCCACAGUGCUGCAUGGUGGCUGCCAGGCCCUGUGGCACAUCCUGUGGUGGCUGCCCCAGGGAAGUGCAAGUGUAUCUAUGGUAUGUGGCCAUACCACUGUGCUGGCUUCCACAUUUCACAGUGAGAAGGAACAAGCAGAGGUGGGGUUGGGGGGCAGAUGCAAUUAGAGGGGCUCAUUGAUAACUCUGAGGUCUCAUGUCAUAUACCAACAGAGACAGCAAGCAUUCUGGAAGAUGCCCUGGAUCCCACUCAAUGUGUGAUAGAGACACUGUCAGUUGCCUAUCAAAUGUUGUUGCUAUUACUCUUUACUGAUGGCCAUAGGAUGUGAUGGUCAUUACUGGUAGUGGGUAGGGUGACCAAAGUGCUCCCCAGGCACCCCCUGUCUAGACCCUGCAUGUGCCCCCUGGUGAGGCUGGGUCACAGGGUGACAUUGGGAUCCCAAGGCAGGGGGAUCUGCACUGUGCAC